CCCCCGGCACUGGGGGGGAAGCGGUGCUGCCACUUGCCGGAGGUCAAAGCAUCAUUCAGUGGUGGCGGCAAGCCGGCAAUAGCCGCUUCUCAGUCCCUUGUUCUAAUCGCUGCUCUGCUCCCUGGUGAAAAACCUUAGAAAACAAGGCAGUGACUGGCUCUGCAAAGCACUGACGACAACAAUGCGGAGCUUCUUCCCCCGCUCUCCGGCAGCGUGGGAUCGUGACCCAGCACAACGUCUGGAACACCUGGGGCUGUUACCGCCAGCUCCACCGGGGCUCUCGUCCCUACACAAGUUUUGGGUUCCAGGCGUUCCUGAAGUGGUGGGAGCUGGAGGUGAGCGAGGGCUGGGAGGGUCUGUGCUGGAAGGCUCCACGGGAGCUCAUCCGUCAAGUGGGAUAUGCGAGGCUUCAUAUUGCUUCCUCUCUAGGAUCCUGAAAGAUAAACUCCUUUGAAGUCCAUUAACAAACUCUCUAGGACAAAAGGUUAUUGUAAACAUUGGUGCAAACAUCUAGCGAUGCGCUUAUGCUGAUAAACCUUUGGGGAGUGACUGGAAGCCGCCUGCCUGAGGGUCCCUAGUCAGUAUCUGUGGCAGUGCCUUUGCUGCAGAGCUCUCCAUGAAUACUGGCAUUUUUCUCCUUAUCUGCUCAGUCGUCGACAGGAAGCGUUUCGUACGGUGCCCUUAAACUGAUCUAGCGAAGCGCUAAAAAUAAAACCUCUUUGUGAAGCCGCAAACUCCUGCCCUAUCUGCUGCG
Long non-coding RNA from Aquila chrysaetos chrysaetos, 754 nucleotides. RefSeq lists it as uncharacterized. The record is from RefSeq and is a predicted model, not a curated record. The transcript has 3 exons. NCBI's taxonomy places the organism in Eukaryota, Metazoa, Chordata, Aves, Accipitriformes, Accipitridae.